CCUACGGGUGGCUGCAGUGGGGAAUAUUGGGCAAUGGGCGCAAGCCUGACCCAGCAACGCCGCGUGAAGGAAGAAGGCUUUCGGGUUGUAAACUUCUUUUCUGAGGGACGAAGCAAGUGACGGUACCUCCGGAAUAAGCCACGGCUAACUACGUGCCAGCAGCCGCGGUAAUACGUAGGUGGCAAGCGUUAUCCGGAUUUAUUGGGUGUAAAGGGCGUGUAGGCGGGAAAGCAAGUCAGAUGUGAAAACGCAGGGCUCAACCCUGAGCCUGCAUUUGAAACUGGUUGUCUUGAGUGCUGGAGAGGCAAUCGGAAUGCGGGGUGUAGCGGUGAAAUGCGUAGAUAUACGGAGGAACACCAGUGGCGAAGGCGGAUUGCUGGACAGUAACUGACGCUGAGGCGCGAAAGCGUGGGGAGCAAACAGGAUUAGAGACCCCGGUAGUC
This 443-nucleotide ribosomal RNA is filed under the name uncultured bacterium. RNAcentral's name for it is "partial 16S ribosomal RNA". It matches the Rfam family "Bacterial small subunit ribosomal RNA", at positions 338 to 795 of the family's 1533-position model. The record is from RNAcentral.